UGUCCAGACUCCUACGGGAGGCAGCAGUGGGGAAUAUUGCACAAUGGGGGAAACCCUGAUGCAGCGACGCCGCGUGAGUGAGGAAGUAUUUCGGUAUGUAAAGCUCUAUCAGCAGGGAAGAAAAUGACGGUACCUGACUAAGAAGCCCCGGCUAACUACGUGCCAGCAGCCGCGGUAAUACGUAGGGGGCAAGCGUUAUCCGGAUUUACUGGGUGUAAAGGGAGCGUAGACGGACUUGCAAGUCUGAUGUGAACAUCCGGGGCCCAACCCCGGAACUGCAUUGGAAACUGUAUAUCUAGAGUGUCGGAGAGGCAAGUGGAAUUCCUGGUGUAGCGGUGAAAUGCGUAGAUAUCAGGAGGAACAUCAGUGGCGAAGGCGACUAUCUGGCACAUAACUGACGCUGAGGAGCGAAAGCGUGGGUAGCAAACAGGAUUAGAUACCCUCGUAGAA
This 450-nucleotide ribosomal RNA is filed under the name uncultured bacterium. RNAcentral's name for it is "bacterial SSU rRNA". It matches the Rfam family "Bacterial small subunit ribosomal RNA", at positions 328 to 795 of the family's 1533-position model. The record is from RNAcentral.